This 23-nucleotide non-coding RNA is filed under the name Arabidopsis thaliana (thale cress). The record is from RNAcentral. Lineage: Eukaryota; Viridiplantae; Streptophyta; Magnoliopsida; Brassicales; Brassicaceae.
CUGGUUUUGGCUGCAACUCUUGC